AAGUCUUUCUAGCUAUAUACCCUAGAAAGAAAUACAUAGUACACAUAAAUUAAUGAAAAUAUAAAAGAAAGAAUAUUAAAUAGCAUGGAGAACACGGACCCAACAUUCCUGGCUGAAUCAUUUUUUAAAGUAGGCAUGAUUACUUGCAUAAGUAGCAAACUCAAAAAAAGAAUUAACUUUCGAAAGAAUCAAUAAUAGGGCUUAACGGGGAUGUGCUGCAGUAGUUCCGAUUAUAAUAAACUAAGCCUGAGCUGGAUUCUAAAGGGCUAGAGCCAUGUUCAACACGCUCAACGUUCGCAACGAAAAGAAUGUGAUCUUGUACUUGAUAAGAAUGAAUUAUUGAACAGUGCAAGAGCCCUAAGCUAUCAACAAGACAUGGAAGACCUUCUUUACUGAGACUGACAUCGAUUGGAUGAAGGGGAUGCAGAAGAGAAUGUGAAGAUGUUUGCUGUGUACGAUUGCUUCCUGGAAGAUCCUCUACAGAAGUAGAGUUUUUCUCUGAAUUCAUUAAAGGAUUGAUUUGAUGUUUUUGUUUGGCAAGUAAGGAAGCCCAUUCGGAAUGCUUCUUUAUUGAACUAGACAGAAGAUGAACGAUUACUCGAUUGGAUUGUUGGAUGGCGUUUGCUGUACGAGAGGGAAUUUUUAUAUUGAAUGAAAUUACUGGAUUUGGCGUCAGAGAAACUGGCGUAAAGGAUGAGGCCGUCAUGCCAGCACGAUGACCAUCAGCAAAACCACUCGUGAUGAUGACAACUGGUUGUGCGAACCUACGCAUUAAAAGGCGAAAAGCAUUAACGUUAUCAUGGGAAGCGGUAGAAUAGCGGUUGAAAUUUGAAAAAGGCAAAUGUCGAAGUAUGUAGCAGGGCAAUGAUGAGGAAGAAGUAAAACAAUGAGUAAAUCGGAUUGACAUCAAAAUAUGUAAACAAUUAUUAAGUAUAUAAUAUUAUUUGACUUAAGCACGGAAAAAAGGCAAACGACCAGAAAGCGGUAGUAUAGUCAUGAACUCCUUUAGUGUUGGUAAUAAAAUCGACCAACUGUGGACAGCGAAUAUAAAAGUGACUCGUGCUACUCAAAUUGAGGAAAUAAAACCCCUUUAUUUGAUUAUUCAAUACAACCUUUCAAACUUUUAUGUUCAAUAAAGAUAUAAAGAAAGUUGGACGAGGUUGUAGGACAGUGGUGUACUUUGUGAUACUGUUUACCAUUCCAUUUUCAUUGGGAAAUUAUACUCGUGCAUAGAAGCUAAUGUGAAACUUGAAAAAAUAAACAUUUAAGGGAAACAUGAGAGAAGGAUUCAAAUUUCUAUUCUUUUACCGAAAAAUUGUUGUUUACAAGAUAGAUGCAAAUCAAUCAGCGAAUCUGAUGAGUAGUGGUAGAGAAAUGAAUUAAUUAUAGGAAAACGAAAAAAUUUAAUUUUAAAGCCUGAUUCAUCUAUUCAUUGACUAUCAAAAUAUGUAGCAACAGAAUAACUAAAGAUA
Molecule: non-coding RNA, 1472 nt
Organism: Schizosaccharomyces pombe (fission yeast)
Lineage: Eukaryota; Fungi; Ascomycota; Schizosaccharomycetes; Schizosaccharomycetales; Schizosaccharomycetaceae
Source: the annotation of a GenBank genome assembly